CCUACGGGAGGCAGCAGUGAGGAAUAUUGGUCAAUGGGCGGAAGCCUGAACCAGCCAAGUCGCGUGAGGGAAUAAGGCCCUACGGGUCGUAAACCUCUUUUGCCGGGGAGCAAGGGCCGGGACGCGUCCCGGCCCGGAGAGUACCCGGAGAAAAAGCAUCGGAUAACACCGUGCCAGCAGCCGCGGUAAUACGGAGGAUGAGGGCGUUAUCCGGAUUUAAUGGGUUUAAAGGGUGCGUAGGCGGGCUGUUAAGUCAGCGGUAAAAAUUCGGGGCUCAACCCCGUCCGGCCGGUGAAACGGGUGGCCGUGAGUGGGCGAGAAGAAGGCGGAAUGCGUGGUGUAGCGGUGAAAUGCAUAGAUAUCACGCAGAACCCCGAUUGCGAAGGCAGCCUUCCGGCGCCCUACUGACGCUGAGGCACGAAAGUGCGGGGAUCGAACAGGAUUAGAUACCCUGGUAGUC
This 460-nucleotide ribosomal RNA is filed under the name uncultured bacterium. RNAcentral describes it as "partial 16S ribosomal RNA". It matches the Rfam family "Bacterial small subunit ribosomal RNA", at positions 338 to 795 of the family's 1533-position model. The record is from RNAcentral.